This is a vault RNA of Amphiprion ocellaris (clown anemonefish), 92 nucleotides long. Its record names the gene Vault. It matches the Rfam family "Vault RNA". From Rfam's summary of the family: This family of RNAs are found as part of the enigmatic vault ribonucleoprotein complex. The complex consists of a major vault protein (MVP), two minor vault proteins (VPARP and TEP1), and several small untranslated RNA molecules. Lineage: Eukaryota; Metazoa; Chordata; Actinopteri; Pomacentridae. The record is from Ensembl.
GCAUCGGUUUAGCUCAAUGGUUCCCUGUGCAUAAUUCUAUCUGACAGACCGCGGGUUCAAGGGUUCAACCAUGGGCGCUGUCCGAUGUUUUC